GUGGGCAGAAAGACCGAAACCCACUCACGGCCGCCUGCCGAAUCGCGGCUCUGCUGUUUGUGGGGCGUGCUAGAAACGUGGUCCUAAAAAGAAUGGCGUCCAUUUACAUAAUGCUUUGUUUGCGUUUCGCAAGUUUCUUUCGGUUAAAGCCACAGAAACCCCACCUCCUGCCCUUGUGUCGUUUCCACCGCGGCACCCUUUUCCGACAUUAGAAACAAUAGUGUACGCCUGUGGAGGCCUCGUUUGUUCAGGGGCUGCCGGCCAGGGCUUCAGGACGUUUCUGCGGCUUUCCCCGCGCGGCCUGGGCUCCCGCGGCUGCUUUUCGGGCCCAUGGGCGCAGCCACUGCGCCAGGCUCAAGGGGGGCGGCCCCGUCAGGGCCCGCCAUCUUGGAAGGCCUUUUUUGCCGGUUCUUCCCGCUGAGGAAGUGUCGCUCAAGACGCUGGCCUAUGAGUUGUGAUUUCUGCCUUUUCCCCUUCCUCCUUGGGCUAAGCCAGACCAGAAAGGGCCCCGUGCGCAACGUGCUUCACAAUCUCUCAGGGAAAGCGGCUAACGUGGCGCUACUCCGCCUCCCCUGUUCCUUACCCUUGGGGCGGCCGCCAUGUUUCCUGAACACAAAAUGGCGACACGUGGUUAGCAUUCGUCGCCAACGAGAAAUUGGGGUCGGCCCGAAAGCUCUAGAAUGCACCCCUCUUCCUCCCCGGGGCCUUCCACCUCCGCGAGUUUUAUGACUUAAAAAAGCCCACAGGCUGGUCUGAAGAGGAAGACAAACAUAAAGAUGAAGUGCUUAAUUCAAGGUCACACAAUGUCGGGGAUGGACCUCCAGAUUUCCUUACUGACCUGCAUUAUCUUGUGGAUACCUGAGUGAAUUCCACACCACCCAUUUUAUAGAUGAAACCACUGAGACAUGGAGCAAUUGACUGAGUAGUCACUGCCCCACCCCUGCCUGGAGCCUCACACAUGACUCGCCUCCUCUCAGUGACCACAGGAAAACAAGCUCAGGGCUCCCACUGAUUGUACAUUAUGAGACGGAGUCUUGCUAUGUUGCCCAGGCUGGUCUUGAACUCCUCACCUCAAGCGAUCCUCCCGUCUUGGCCUCCCAAGUGUCAGGAUUACGGGCAUGUGCUAUCACACCCAACCUGAUACAUUGCCUUUAUAAAUUUUUUUUUCUUUAUUCUAAAAACCAGAAAAAACAAAACUGGAUACAUGUGCAGAACAUGCAGACCAAGUGUGUUGGGGACUUGAGAUGCGUACAUGAGUGUGAUGUUUCCUGCUGAAAGCACAGGUGAGACGUGGUCUUGUAACACAGUGGUUAAGAAUGUGACUUUGGAGCCAGCCUGCUAGGGGCUGAAUUCUGACUCAGCCAUUUACUAACUGUGUGACCUUAGGGAGGAGGACCUGGUUGAUAGAAGAAUUUAUCUCGUAGUCUUAACAUCCACUGUAAUUCCAAACUUUGAGGACGAUAGAGAUCAGUGGGCUUUGACUGCCCAGCAUGCAGUCUCCAUUCUUAGGUGGGUUCCCAAGCCUGUAAAAUGUAAGCCUUAUGCUGCUGAGGGCCAUCUUGCCACCCUGAGGGAAACGCUGCCUGAGAAUGAAACAAGCAUAAGUAAAAGCUGAGCUGUGAGAUGGAGCAAGAUGAAGGCCACAUGACAUCUUUGGAGCACCUGGAUCUAACUGUGCCUUAAGCUAGUCUAACCCUGAACAUUUCAUCAUUUCAUUGACAUGAGCCCAGGUUUUCUUUUUUUUUGGAUGGAGUCUUGCUCUGUCGCCCAGGCUGGAGUGCAGUAGCUCAAUCUCGGCUCACUGCAAGCUCCACCUCCCGGGUUCACGCCAUUCUCCUGCCUUAGCCUCCCAAGUAGCUGGGACAACAGGCGCCCACCACCACUCCCAGCUAAUUUUUUGUAUUUUUAGUAGAGACGGGGUUUUACCAUGUUAGCCGGGAUGGUCUUGAUCUCCUGACCUCAUGAUCCGCCCGCCUCGGCCUCCCAAAGUGCUGGGAUUACAGGUGUGAGCCACUGCACCCAGCCCUCAGGUUUUCCCUUUUUUUACCCCUCCUUUUGAAAAUUUGAUGUGGAAUUUUGCCACCUGCAGCCAGAAGAGUUUUAACUAAUCAGUGCCAUAAAUUUUAUAUAGUUCUCCUUGCAAAAUGUGGAUCAGCCUUUCUCAGCAAAUCCUUUGUCAUAAAGUGCUGAAUUGUAAGUUUGUCAUGAGAAUCACAUGAGAUCAUGCAUGUGAAGAACCUGGCAUUAUCCUCCUCAUAGAAAAAAACCAGUAAAUAUUAACUACAGGAAGCAAGGAAGGAGUGGGGUGAGGGGAAGAAGAAGGGGUACUGAUUUAAAAGAACCCUGGAGUCCUAAGGAUAAUCUAGGAACCCUCAGACCCAAUCCGAUACCCCUAUUCUAAAUGCUCCUAGUGCCCUGUACCUUCCCCUCAUAAGCCUUCAUUAUCAUUGUAAUGAUAUGUUUAUGUAAUAUUUUGAUUAAUGUCUCUCCUUCACUGACCUAGCAGUUCUAGCAGGGCAGUGAUUUUGCUGUGUUGCAUCCCCAGCACCUAGUCUGGUAUGUGGCAUUCAGCAUAUGUUUAUUGAAUGAAUGGCCAUGUGGUUAUUCAGAUCCUCCUUGAUUAUUGGGGUUAGGAUUGUGGCAGAAGUGGCAAAAUCAGGGAGAGUAGUCCCUGUCCCCUCUGUAUCUUAUACACUGCCCACACUCCCAACACACAUACACAUACAGAGAAUUUUGUCUCAAUUAGAUAAUUAACUUCUGCUUGGUUGUAAACCAAACCACUGGUUCUUAAACUUUCAUUGGAUCAUUUUAUUGAAGAAUUAAAUAGUGUGGUUCUGGCCUAAUGUCUGGAAAGCCUUGCAGAGGAGUGGAUUAGGUCUUUGUGAUAAACAGGCAGCCUUCCCUGCUCCUGUGUCUUUAUAAAAUCUAUUUAACUGGAGUAGUCCACCCUCCCUCAGGCUCUUACAGGAAUAUGUUGGAGGCUGUAGGAAGGUGGGAAACCGAGAGGGAAAGGACUGGGCCGCUGGAGACUUCACUCAUUCCCUAGCAAGAAACAAAAGCAGUAAAAGGUGGCCCGAGGACAACCUGAAGCUCACUCCUUCAGCACUUUUGGCUGGAGGUCACUUGUUGGAGCCCCACUCAGAGCUCAGCACACCACCCCACCAGCAGCCUCCUCCUCCCAGCUGAGGCUGCAUUUCAUCCCUUCCCCCAGCCUGCUUUCCCUGAGAUAGGGGAGUGUUUCCCAGGGCCCAUGUGACUUCCACUGGCAAGUGACGAUUACCAAUGGUUUACUAGUCAGUGAAACUACCAAAGGCUUUUGUGCUGUAGUAAUCCUUUUCCUGUUUAAAACUCUGGGGAUUUUCUAAUGUUGCCAAUAGUUUUUCAAGUCAGCAAUUACUGUGUGGAUUAUGUAAUGGCUCGGUAUUAAAAAUAGAAAAGACUGGAGUUUGCAUCUAUUUUAACCAAAUCUUGAAAACAGAGCAAAGGGAGGGGAAGGGUGGAGAGGGAGAGACCAGAGGAGGAGGGAGAAAAAGAGAUCAUGUGACUGGAUAAGACAGCUCACAAUUCACUGUGCCUUUCUCCCACCAUUUGUGGCCCAAGGACCUGUACUCCCUCCUCAGCCUCCUCUAGGGAGGGGUCCUUGAUGAGAAUUCUGAGGACACAAGACCCCUUGUGGAUAUUUCUUAGCUCAGCCUUGGUGUGCUUACCUGCUUCUGACAAGCAAAGUGGCCAAGUAGGGGAGGGAGUUGAAUCUGAUGUCCUCCACUAAGUCCAG
This 3775-nucleotide long non-coding RNA is filed under the name Homo sapiens (human). RNAcentral describes it as "HSALNT0033557". Lineage: Eukaryota; Metazoa; Chordata; Mammalia; Primates; Hominidae. The record is from RNAcentral.